Non-coding RNA from Bacillus subtilis, 56 nucleotides. Lineage: Bacteria; Bacillati; Bacillota; Bacilli; Caryophanales; Bacillaceae. The record is from Rfam.
UGAGUCAACGGUAACCGGACCGUAGGGAGGAUUAAGGAGUUGACUCGCUCAGCGCC